This 220-nucleotide ribosomal RNA is filed under the name uncultured bacterium. Its description in RNAcentral is "partial 16S ribosomal RNA". It matches the Rfam family "Bacterial small subunit ribosomal RNA", at positions 57 to 305 of the family's 1533-position model. The record is from RNAcentral.
GCAAGUCGAGCGCGCCCUUCGGGGUGAGCGGCGGACGGGUGAGUAACGCGUGGGAAUAUGCCCUUUGGUACGGAACAACAGCUGGAAACGGCUGCUAAUACCGUAUGCUCCCUACGGGGGAAAGAUUUAUCGCCAAAGGAUUAGCCCGCGUUGGAUUAGAUAGUUGGUGGGGUAACGGCCCACCAAGUCGACGAUCCAUAUCUGGUUUGAGAGGAUGAUC